RNAcentral lists this ribosomal RNA (1372 nucleotides) under uncultured bacterium. RNAcentral describes it as "bacterial SSU rRNA". It matches the Rfam family "Bacterial small subunit ribosomal RNA", at positions 28 to 1381 of the family's 1533-position model. The record is from RNAcentral.
GAUGAACGCUGGCGGCGUGCCUAAUACAUGCAAGUCGAGCGAACGGACGAGAAGCUUGCUUUUCUGAUGUUAGCGGCGGACGGGUGAGUAACACGUGGAUAACCUACCUAUAAGACUGGGAUAACUUCGGGAAACCGGAGCUAAUACCGGAUAAUAUUUUGAACCGCAUGGUUCAAAAGUGAAAGACGGUCUUGCUGUCACUUAUAGAUGGAUCCGCGCUGCAUUAGCUAGUUGGUAAGGUAACGGCUUACCAAGGCAAUGAUGCAUAGCCGACCUGAGAGGGUGAUCGGCCACACUGGAACUGAGACACGGUCCAGACUCCUACGGGAGGCAGCAGUAGGGAAUCUUCCGCAAUGGGCGAAAGCCUGACGGAGCAACGCCGCGUGAGUGAUGAAGGUCUUCGGAUCGUAAAACUCUGUUAUUAGGGAAGAACAUAUGUGUAAGUAACUGUGCACAUCUUGACGGUACCUAAUCAGAAAGCCACGGCUAACUACGUGCCAGCAGCCGCGGUAAUACGUAGGUGGCAAGCGUUAUCCGGAAUUAUUGGGCGUAAAGCGCGCGUAGGCGGUUUUUUAAGUCUGAUGUGAAAGCCCACGGCUCAACCGUGGAGGGUCAUUGGAAACUGGAAAACUUGAGUGCAGAAGAGGAAAGUGGAAUUCCAUGUGUAGCGGUGAAAUGCGCAGAGAUGUGGAGGAACACCAGUGGCGAAGGCGACUUUCUGGUCUGUAACUGACGCUGAUGUGCGAAAGCGUGGGGAUCAAACAGGAUUAGAUACCCUGGUAGUCCACGCCGUAAACGAUGAGUGCUAAGUGUUAGGGGGUUUCCGCCCCUUAGUGCUGCAGCUAACGCAUUAAGCACUCCGCCUGGGGAGUACGACCGCAAGGUUGAAACUCAAAGGAAUUGACGGGGGCCCGCACAAGCGGUGGAGCAUGUGGUUUAAUUCGAAGCAACGCGAAGAACCUUACCAAAUCUUGACAUCCUUUGACAACUCUAGAGAUAGAGCCUUCCCCUUCGGGGGACAAAGUGACAGGUGGUGCAUGGUUGUCGUCAGCUCGUGUCGUGAGAUGUUGGGUUAAGUCCCGCAACGAGCGCAACCCUUAAGCUUAGUUGCCAUCAUUAAGUUGGGCACUCUAAGUUGACUGCCGGUGACAAACCGGAGGAAGGUGGGGAUGACGUCAAAUCAUCAUGCCCCUUAUGAUUUGGGCUACACACGUGCUACAAUGGACAAUACAAAGGGCAGCGAAACCGCGAGGUCAAGCAAAUCCCAUAAAGUUGUUCUCAGUUCGGAUUGUAGUCUGCAACUCGACUACAUGAAGCUGGAAUCGCUAGUAAUCGUAGAUCAGCAUGCUACGGUGAAUACGUUCCCGGGUCU